Octopus sinensis (East Asian common octopus) is the source of this 152-nucleotide long non-coding RNA. RefSeq lists it as uncharacterized. NCBI's taxonomy places the organism in Eukaryota, Metazoa, Mollusca, Cephalopoda, Octopoda, Octopodidae. The record is from RefSeq and is a predicted model, not a curated record. The transcript is spliced from 3 exons.
CUUCCAUUUCUGCACCUUCGACCUCCAACACAACCCCUAUCGCUAUACUGUUAGCAUCACACCAGACAGUCCCAUAUUCCGUCUUGGGUACAUACCAGUUCCCCCUGACCGGAUCUUCCGCUCUCGUCUUCUCUAGGAUUUCCCGCAUCAUC